GGUGAGUUAAAGUGGUAUUUUGUGAGUUAAGGUGGUAUUUUGGAUAGUUAAGGUGGUAUUUUGGAGAGUUAAGGUGGUAUUUUGGAGAGUUAAGGUGGUAUUUUGUGAGUUAAGUUGGUAUUUUGGAUAGUUAAGGUGGUGUUUGGUGAGUUAAGGUGGUAUUUUGGAGAGUUAAGGUGGUAUUUGGUGAGUUAAGGUGGUAUUUUGGAUAGUUAAGGUGGUAUUUGGUGAG
This is a long non-coding RNA of Notothenia coriiceps (black rockcod), 232 nucleotides long. RefSeq lists it as uncharacterized. The transcript is spliced from 2 exons. Lineage: Eukaryota; Metazoa; Chordata; Actinopteri; Perciformes; Nototheniidae. The record is from RefSeq and is a predicted model, not a curated record.